This 215-nucleotide unclassified non-coding RNA is filed under the name rhizosphere metagenome. RNAcentral describes it as "partial ribosomal RNA internal transcribed spacer region". The record is from RNAcentral.
GUAGGUGAACCUGCGGAAGGAUCACUAAAGAGAACUUGCCCUUCGGGGUAGAUCUCCCACCCUUUGUUUAUUAUACUUUGUUGCUUUGGCGGGCCUGCCUCACGGCUGCCGGCGUAAGCUGGCUCGCGCCUGCCAGAGACCUUUAAACUCUGAAUAUUGUCGUCUGAGUAAUAUAUAAUAAGUUAAAACUUUCAACAACGGAUCUCUUGGUUCUG